Micropterus dolomieu (smallmouth bass) is the source of this 1078-nucleotide long non-coding RNA. RefSeq lists it as uncharacterized. The transcript is spliced from 2 exons. The record is from RefSeq and is a predicted model, not a curated record. NCBI's taxonomy places the organism in Eukaryota, Metazoa, Chordata, Actinopteri, Centrarchiformes, Centrarchidae.
CCACACCGCUGUCCAUGUUCAGUUUUCAGGCUUUACCAAGAGCAGCACAGCCAAUCAUAAAGUCAUUAUCAAACUUUAAAUCGGUUCUCUCGUCUGCUGCCAGCUGUCACUUCAGUACAAAUCGCUGCGGCCCUCCUCCUCGUCACAUCCAGAUCCUCAGCGUCUUCAUCACCUCCCCAGAGGGGGGAUUUCUAUGCCUCUGCAGCUGCCACUUUUAUCAACAUGGGAUCUAAUCGCCAAAUUACUUUUCACAUUUCUCUAUAUGUAUCACAUGUCAAUAAAUGAUUUUUUGCUCACUCAGUCAGGUCUCUCCUGAUAGACACAGGAUAACAUUGUUUGCACUGAUGAAGAAGUAAAACUAUGCGGGAAAAUAUCCGUGCAGGGGCUGGAGCCAAGCCCAGCAGGCAUUUGGCGAGACGCAGGAACGAACAACCACUUACAUUCACACCUAAUUAACCUGCCUAUGUUUGGACGGUGGGAGGAAGCUAGAGCACACACGGAGAGAACAUGCAAACUCCACACAGAAGAGCCUGGGACGACCGGGGGUCGAGACUCAGAUCUUCUUGCUGUGAGGCGACAGUGCUAACCACUGCACCACCGUGCCGCCCAACCGUGGAGCAACUCAACAGAAAUGUUAAAAACAGAUUAGGAAGCAAGAGGAAAAACAACGAUGAAGUGUCAUGUGAAGAGGAUGUCUGAUUAAAUAUUUACUACCUGUGUGAGAUGGAGUGUAACAGCAGCCUGCAGAGAUCCAGCUGAGGCAGCUCAUGAACUCUGCGCUGUGUGUUUACACAUGAUGAUGACAACAUUUCUCAGGGUGGCAGAUGUGGUGCUUGUGUGCCCAGUAUACUGUAUAUGUUUUUGUAUUGUCGAAAUGCACCGUCUCCCUUCACAUUUUGUGGACUCAUUGCACGUUUGAUAGCGAUCUAUUCGAGCUUCUUUUUUUUUGUGAUGGAACCAGCAACCAAAGAUGAGAUUUCCCCUGUCUGGGAACAUUUUGAGCUGAUCUCACCUAAUAAAAGGUAUUUACAUAGUAAUAAUAAUAACUAGUGUUAUAUAUAAUAAAUGUGAAAACGCA